UGAAUACGAGACGCUAAGGCGUCGAAGUAGUGUAUGUCAUACUUCCGAGAAAAGCUUGCACUGUCAUAGAUAAAAAACGCCUGUACCAUAACCGACACAGGUGGGUAGGUAGAGUAUACUAAGGGGCGCGAGAUAACUCUCUCUAAGGAACUCGGCAAAAUAACUCCGUAACUUCGGGAGAAGGAGUGCCUUAUUAUUAAGGCUGCAAUAACAAGAUCCAAGCAACUGUUUAUCAAAAACACAGGUCUCCGCUAAGUCGUAAGACGAUGUAUGGGGGCUGACGCCUGCCCAGUGCCAGAAGGUUAAAGAAGUUGGUUAGCAUUUGCGAAGCUGAUAACUGAAGCCCUGGUGAACGGCGGCCGUAACGAUAACGGUCCUAAGGUAGCGAAAUUCCUUGUCGGGUAAGUUCCGACCCGCACGUAAGGCGUAAUGAUUUGGAUACUGUCUCGGAGAGGGGCUCGGUGAAAUAGACUUGUCUGUGAAGAUGCGGACUACCUGCACCAGGACAGAAAGACCCUAUGAAGCUUUACUGUAACUUGAAAUUGAAAUUGGACUUUAUUCGCGCAGCAUAGGUGGGAGGCGUUGAUUAUAAUCUUGUGGGAUUAUUGGAGCCAUCAGUGAGAUACCACUCUUGUAAUGUUAGAUUUCUAACUUUGAAUCAUUAUCUGGUCAAAGAACAGUUUCAGGCGGGCAGUUUGACUGGGGCGGUCGCCUCCUAAACGGUAACGGAGGCGUACAAAGGUUUCCUCUGAACGGUUAGAAAUCGUAUCUAGAGUGUAAAGGCAUAAGGAAGCUUGACUGUGAGACCUACAAGUCGAGCAGGGACGAAAGUCGGUCUUAGUGAUCUGACGGUACUGAGUGGAAAGGCCGUCACUCAACGGAUAAAAGUUACUCUAAGGAUAACAGGCUGAUCUCCCCCAAGAGUUCACAUCGACGGGGAGGUUUGGCACCUCGAUGUCGGCUCAUCGCAUCCUGGGGCGGUAGUACGUCCCAAGGUUUGGGCUGUUCGCCCAUGAAAGCGGUACGCGAGCUGGGUUCAGAACGUCGUGAGACAGUUCGGUCCAUAUCCGGUGUAGGCGUUAGAAUAUUGAGAGGAGCCUUCUUUAGUACGAGAGGACCGAGAAGGACAUACCUCUGGUGUACCAGUUAUCGUGCCAACGGUAAACGCUGGGUAGCUAUGUAUGGAGUGGAUAACCGCUGAAAGCAUCUAAGUGGGAAGCCCACCUCAAGAUAAGUAUUCU
RNAcentral lists this ribosomal RNA (1241 nucleotides) under metagenome. RNAcentral's name for it is "bacterial LSU rRNA". It matches the Rfam family "Bacterial large subunit ribosomal RNA", at positions 1564 to 2814 of the family's 2925-position model. The record is from RNAcentral.